This 84-nucleotide microRNA precursor is filed under the name Bombyx mori (domestic silkworm). Its description in RNAcentral is "mir-2807 microRNA precursor family". It matches the Rfam family "mir-2807 microRNA precursor family". Lineage: Eukaryota; Metazoa; Arthropoda; Insecta; Lepidoptera; Bombycidae. The record is from Rfam by way of RNAcentral.
UUAACUCAAAUUUGUAUGCAUUUGGAACAGCGCCCUUAGCGGCAAACGUAGGUAAACGUUACAACUUCAUAUAAAUUUUAGUUA